CGGUGGAUGAUGUGGAUUAAUUCGAUGCAACGCGAAAAACCUUACCUACCCUUGACAUGUACGGAAUCCUGCUGAGAGGUGGGAGUGCUCGAAAGANAACCGUAACACAGGUGCUGCAUGGCUGUCGUCAGCUCGUGUCGUGAGAUGUUGGGUUAAGUCCCGCAACGAGCGCAACCCUUGUCCUUAGUUGCUACGCAAGAGCACUCUAGGGAGACUGCCGGUGACAAACCGGAGGAAGGUGGGGAUGACGUCAAGUC
Molecule: ribosomal RNA, 257 nt
Filed under: Pandoraea sp. 30-B3
Lineage: Bacteria; Pseudomonadati; Pseudomonadota; Betaproteobacteria; Burkholderiales; Burkholderiaceae
Description: partial 16S ribosomal RNA
Rfam family: Bacterial small subunit ribosomal RNA
Source: RNAcentral